Molecule: ribosomal RNA, 253 nt
Filed under: uncultured bacterium
Lineage: Bacteria
Description: partial 16S ribosomal RNA
Rfam family: Bacterial small subunit ribosomal RNA
Source: RNAcentral
UACGUAGGGUGCGAGCGUUAUUCGGAAUUACUGGGCGUAAAGCGUGCGCAGGCGGUUUUGCAAGACAGGUGUGAAAUCCCCGGGCUUAACCUGGGAACUGCAUUUGUGACUGCACGGCUAGAGUGUGUCAGAGGGGGGUAGAAUUCCACGUGUAGCAGUGAAAUGCGUAGAUAUGUGGAGGAAUACCGAUGGCGAAGGCAGCCCCCUGGGAUAACACUGACGCUCAUGCACGAAAGCGUGGGGAGCAAACAGG